UGUCCUCCCACAGCCCACGGAUUCCUUUCUCUGUCAGAGGGGCCACUGAAGGCAAACUGUCCCAGGGCCUGACAGAGGGAUGCCGCUGUGGCUGCUGCUGCUGUGGGGAGGGCCCCUGCUUUGGGUUCUGGGCUACCAGCUGGAGCUACAGGAGUCCGUGACUGUCCAGGAGGGCUUGUGUGUCCACGUGCGCUGCAAAUUUUUUUUGCCCUGGUUUAGCUUUGGAUUCAUCUCCAUAUCUUGGUUCCAGAAAGGGGCAGAUGUUUACUACGAUCCUCCAGUGGCCACAAACAAACCAGACAGGAAGUUGCAUGAGAGGACCCAGGGCCGGUUCUUCCUCCUUGGGGACCCCCAGACCGAGGACUGCUCCCUGUACAUCACAGAUGUCAACAUGGGGGACAGUGGGACUUACUUCUUACAUGUCGAUACACACUCAUAUCUAUAUAAUAUGCUUUCUCUGAAUGUGACAGCUCUGACCCACACACCUCACAUCCUUACCCCGGGGACCCUGGAGUCCGGCCGCCCCGGGGACCUGAACUGCUCUGUGCCCUGGGCCUGCGAGCGGGGAAUGCCCCCCAUCUUCUCCUGGACGUCAGCCGCCUUCACCUCCCUGGGUCCCAGGACGCGCCUCUCCUCAGUGCUCACCCUCACCCCACGGCCCCAGGACCACGGCACCAACCUCACCUGUCAAGUGCAAUUCCCUGCAAUUGGUGUGAUGGUGGAAAGGACCAUCCAGCUCAAUGUCACCUAUGCUCCACAGAACACAGCCAUCAGGAUCUUCCAAGGAAACAGAAUAGCCCUAGAGACUCUGCAAAACACCUCGUCCCUUCUCAUCCGGGAGGGCCAGGACCUGCGGCUGCUCUGUGCUGCUGCCGGCAACCCCCCCGCCGAGCUGAGCUGGUUCUGGGGGUCCCCUGCCCUGAAUGCCACCCCCAUGUGCACGACCCACAUCCUGGAGCUGCCUCAAGUCGGGGCUGCGGAGGAAGGAACGCUCACCUGCCGAGCUCAGAACUCGCUGGGCUCCCAGCACGUCUCCCUGCGUCUCUCUGUGGUCUGCCCCCCGCGGCUGCUCGGCCCCUCCUGCUCCUGGGAGGGCGAGGCUCUGGGCUGCACCUGCUCCGCCAGAGCCCGGCCGGCCCCCACCCUGCGCUGGCGGCUGGGGGAGGGGCUGCUGGAGGGGAACCACAGCAACGCCUCCUUGACCGUCACCUCCAGCUCCGAGGGGCCCUGGGCCAACAGCUCCCUGAGCCUCAGGGGGCCGCUGCGCUCCGACCUCAGACUCGGCUGCGAGGCCCGGAAUGAGCACGGGGCCCAGAGCACCGCCGCCGUCCUGGUGUUGCUGCCAGAUAAGCCAGAACCCAGGGCCAGUGGCGUCCUGGGAGCUGUCGGGGGAGCGGGCAUCAUGACCCUGCUACUUUCUCUCUGCCUUUGUCUCAUCUUCAGAGUGAAGACCCUCAGGAAGAGAGCAGCCCAGCCAGUGCAAAUCAUGGAUUUGAACCCAGCCGGUGACUCAGGCUCUGGGGCGCAUCGGCACCGGGUCUUGACAGACAUCCCUGCAGACCCCCCAGCUCCUGCUGGGACUAGCCCCGUUUCAGGAGAAGAACAGGAACUCCACUAUGCUUUCCUCCGAUUUCCCAAGCUGAAGCCUCGGGAACAGGAAGGCGUCAACACCGAGUACUCAGAGAUCAAGACAUACAACCCUUGGAGAAUGGCUCGUCUCUUUCAGUCCUGGAGGACCAGUCCCUGCACCUGGUCUGUGUCAACAGCAAACCCCCCCCCCCCGCCCCAGUCAGGCUGAGCUGGGCCCCGGGGAGCUGACCCUGUGCUCCUCAAAGCCCUGGAACCCUGGGAUGCUGGAGCUGCCUCAGGCACAGGAGAGAGAUGAAGAGGAAUACACCUGCUGAGCUCGGAGUGCGGUGGGCUCCCAGCACGCCUCCCUGAGCCUCUCUCUGCAGGGUGAGUGUCCAGGGGCUGCACAGUGGACCCUAAUCCCUCAAUGCCAUUUGGCUCACUGGUCCCUGAGCAGGCAGCCCCAGAGCCCGCUGUCCAGCUGCCGGAAGGCCAGGGCACGGGGUAGCGUGCGGCUCAGGAACGUGGGGUGCUACAGCGAUGACGCAGGGGGGCCUGGGGGACCGAUGUCCAGAGACCAGCCAGGAGCAGAGGACACGGUGUAGCAGUCAAGCUCAUGAAUCCACAAAUCCAUCAUCUUUCGCCUCAUCGUCCUCGUGACCAGACUGAAAGGUCCCAGUGUCUUCUCUCAGACUGAGAUUCUUCAGGAAGGAGAAGCCAGGCCUGCAGGGGGCAUGGAGGAGGCCAACACCACCCCCAGUUAAUCCCUCAGGUGAGUGACGUGGGCAGCUCACCACCCAACAUCCCACCAUCACCUCCUCCAGGAUGGCCCCAGGAUUGCUUCACUCAGCACGGCCGAGGUUGAGCUGCCACGUUCCUCUUGAACCUUCUUCUCUGCUGGGAUUCCCUCACAUGGCUGGCAUGGUCUCAUCUCUAAGGCCAGAACCGGGGGUGUGGUUCUCCACCGUGACCUCCCUCUGUUCUGCCUGGUCCACUACAUCACCUGGUCUUGUCCAUCCUUCCUCUAAGCUCAUCCUAGCUCCCGUCUCCUCCCCAUCCUGACCCUGCUUGUUCCUGCGGCCUCCUCUUUUCCCCGGGCCUCUAACGCACCUGUCUCUUGCCUCCCCCUCCGUCCUCAACACUGAGUCUCGGGACACCAUUAUCAUCCACUUUCUCCACAGUAUGAAGACCUAGGAUUCCUCUCCACAGUCCAAACUGAGGGGCAAACAGGCUAGAUUUGAAGACCUGAUAUGGUCUCUUUCCCACUGAACUCUCCACCCAGGUCCCUACCUCUCCCUGCAUCUUACAACGUCUCCACACCCAGCCGGGUUAGGGUUUUCCUGACUCUGAGACUUUGCCUAUGCUGUUCCUUCUCCUGAAAUGCCAUUCCCUCCCCAUUCCUGCCUCUCCAAGUCCUAAUUACCUUCAGGAUCAGUCUUAAAUGCCACUCACCUGUGUGUGUGUGUGUGUGUGUGUGUGUGUGUGCAUAUGUGCGAACCUGUGUGCAUAUGUGUGGUUGUAUGGUUUUGAGUGGAAGAGUGAUAGCCAGUCAUUUACUCAUAGACUUAUUUUUUAAAAAUAUUUGUUUCUUUUUUUUUUUAAAGUUUAUUUACUUAUUUAUUUUGAGAGACAGAGGGAGAGAGCACAAGCAGGGGAGGGCAGAGAGAAGGAAAGACAGAAUCCCAAGCAGGCUCCACGCCAUCAGCGCAGAACCCGAUGCAGGGCUCGAACUCACCAACUGUGAGAUCACGACCCGAGCCAAGAUCAAGAGUUGGAGGCUUAACCAAGGAGCCCCACUCAUACACUCGUCCGGAAGUAUCGUUGAACACCUGCUACGUGCCAGCAUUUUCAUGGGUGCCAGGGUACAACCAUGAACACAACUUCGAAAUCUCUGUCAUCCAAAGGACUUGAGUCGGGCGCCUGGGGGGCUCAGUCGGUUGAGCAUCUGACUCCAGCUCAGGUCAUGCUCUUGCUCAUCCCCAGUUCAAGCCCCACCUCGGGCUCUGUGCUGACAGCUCAGAGCCUGGAGCCUGUUU
Molecule: RNA transcript, 3605 nt
Organism: Prionailurus viverrinus (fishing cat)
Lineage: Eukaryota; Metazoa; Chordata; Mammalia; Carnivora; Felidae
Gene name: sialic acid-binding Ig-like lectin 10
Exons: 11
Source: RefSeq, a predicted model, not a curated record